UUCCUCCUAAAAAGUAAGGGGAAAUGUGUGUGCGUCUUAUGGAAGAAGUGCAGGCUGCGCAGCUGUCAAUGAAGCCAGCAGAGCAAGAGCUGCGCAGUGCCUCUUGUUCUGCUGGCUUCCCAGCGAAGCGGGAGGAGGAAUGGAAGGGAGCCCUUCCGUCCCUCAUCCUGUUUCGAUGGGAAGCCAGCAGAGCAAGAGCCGUUGCGCAGCUAUCGCUCUUGCUCUGCUGGGUUCAGCAGAGCAGCGCAGCUUGC
Podarcis lilfordi (Lilford's wall lizard) is the source of this 254-nucleotide non-coding RNA. The record is from the annotation of a GenBank genome assembly. NCBI's taxonomy places the organism in Eukaryota, Metazoa, Chordata, Lepidosauria, Squamata, Lacertidae.